This 412-nucleotide ribosomal RNA is filed under the name uncultured eukaryote. Its description in RNAcentral is "bacterial SSU rRNA". It matches the Rfam family "Eukaryotic small subunit ribosomal RNA", at positions 82 to 482 of the family's 1831-position model. The record is from RNAcentral.
UGAAACUGCGAAUGGCUCAUUAAAUCAGAAAUAGUUUAUUUGAUAAUACCUUUACUACUCGGAUAACUGUAGUAAUUCUAGAGCUAAUACGUGCUAAAAGUUCCAUCUCCUUUUUUGUUGGUGGAAUGUAUUUAUUAGAUAAAAAACCAAUGCACGAGGCAACUCGUGGUAAUUGUUGAAUCAUAAAAACUUUGCGAAUCGCAUAGCUUUAAGCUGGCGAUGAAUCAUUCAAAUUUCUGCCCUAUCAACUUUCGAUGGUAGUGUAGUGGACUACCAUGGUCGUAACGGGUGACGGAGAAUUAGGGUUCGGUUCCGGAGAGGGAGCCUGAGAGACGGCUACCACUUCCAAGGAAGGCAGCAGGCGCGCAAAUUACCCAAUGGCAAUACGCCGAGGUAGUGACAAUAAAUAACA